RNAcentral lists this ribosomal RNA (404 nucleotides) under bacterium. RNAcentral's name for it is "partial 16S ribosomal RNA". It matches the Rfam family "Bacterial small subunit ribosomal RNA", at positions 355 to 776 of the family's 1533-position model. The record is from RNAcentral.
UGGGGAAUAUUGGACAAUGGGCGAAAGCCUGAUCCAGCCAUGCCGCGUGAGUGAUGAAGGCCCUAGGGUUGUAAAGCUCUUUUAGCGGGGAAGAUAAUGACGGUACCCGCAGAAUAAGCCCCGGCUAACUUCGUGCCAGCAGCCGCGGUAAUACGAAGGAGGCUAGCGUUGCUCGGAAUCACUGGGCGUAAAGGGCGCGUAGGCGGCCAUUCAAGUCGGGGGUGAAAGCCCAGGGCUCAACCCUGGAAUUGCCUUCGAUACUGUUUGGCUAGAGACCGGAAGAGGUAAGUGGAACUGCGAGUGUAGAGGUGAAAUUCGUAGAUAUUCGCAAGAACACCAGUGGCGAAGGCGGCUUACUGGUCCGGUUCUGACGCUGAGGCGCGAAAGCGUGAGGAGCAAACAGG